GACGAACCGAGCGAACGUUGUUCGGAAUCACUGGGCUUAAAGGGCGCGUAGGCGGGUGCUCAAGUCCGGGGUGAAAUCCUCCAGCUCAACUGGAGAACUGCCUCGGAUACUGGGCGUCUCGAGUGUGGUAGGGGUAUGCGGAACUAUCGGUGGAGCGGUGAAAUGCGUUGAUAUCGAUAGGAACUCCGGUGGCGAAGGCGGGUUGCUGGGCCGACACUGACGCUGAUGCGCGAAAGCCAGGGGAGCGAACGGG
Molecule: ribosomal RNA, 253 nt
Filed under: uncultured bacterium
Lineage: Bacteria
Description: partial 16S ribosomal RNA
Rfam family: Bacterial small subunit ribosomal RNA
Source: RNAcentral